GUGAGUGCAUAAAGAAAAGGCCAUGUGAGGACACAGCAAGAAAGUGGCCAUCUGCAAGCGCAAAAGACAGGCCUCAGAAGAACCCAACCCUAUUGACACUAUGAUCUUGGACAUCCAGCCUCCAGAACUCCGUUAACAAACCAUCUGUAUGCCUAAUAUUGAUGCUGCCUUUCCCUAGUGUACUGGACAACCUAAGACAGGGAAAUAAAGAUAAGGUUUGGAUUGAAGAGUGAGGAGCCAAAAUCAUGCAGCUUCAUGUCUCCUUAAUGGACAGAAGACUACACUGUUUUUGCUGCACCCAGAGAUAAAAUUAUUGGUUUUGGAGUACCUUCACUGAUGCCAGGGGUGUCAUCUUUACCUUCCAUCACAUAAUAUAUAUAAAGAGAAUUUUUCUUAGCUUUAAAUGAGUUGAUAAGAGGACAAGAAGAAAGUCAAGGACUCCAUUUCCAGGAUUAAAAGUGGUUUUUUUCUUUGUCUUCCAAAUCCUAGCAGUAGAAGCAUUUGAGUUCUGCAGAAAUUACUGAAGUGGUUCAAGUGUGGGCAGUCAGGACACUCAGCCCACCAUACUCAACCCCAACUCAACCUCAACUCUCAGUACGGCAGAGAGGUGGAGAACUCAGAGCUAUAACUUUCAGGAAUUCUCAAAACCUCAGACCAAAUGCAUCUUUGUUUUACCACCUGUUAAAGUAUAUCCUCAUCUGCCUCAGUGCACUUAAGUAUA
This 721-nucleotide long non-coding RNA is filed under the name Pan troglodytes (chimpanzee). Its description in RNAcentral is "lincRNA". The record is from RNAcentral. Lineage: Eukaryota; Metazoa; Chordata; Mammalia; Primates; Hominidae.